AUAUAUCCCUUCUAGAGGCACAUACAUAUGUAUAAUAUGUAGUGUGUGUAUAGUAAUUAUAUCUAUGAAUCCAUAUAUCUCUAGCUCUCUAUCUAUUUGUUGUUAGUGCCAUUGCAUCAUUUCUGACUCCUAGGGCCAUCCUCUCACCUUCCACUUCCUGAGAACUUUCCGUGGAUUCACAAGCUUGAAGAAGUCCUUUCAACAUUUCUUACAAGGUGGUGCUAUAGCUCAAGUUUGUGGCUUCUCUCUUGCCCAUCCACUGUGGCCUGUUUUCUGAGCAGUCUCCCUAUCUGCUGGAGCUCGCCCUGGUGGACACACUCAGGAGUGUGCACAAAGAGCCAGCUGCAGAGUGAGGGGAGGUAUGGGGUUAGCACUCAGUACAUGGGGGUGCUUGUAGACCCAGUAGAGAGAUCCCUGGGGGUCGUACGCCCGGAUGCUCAUGGGUGAACUUCCUGCCAGGCACAAUCCCCUUAACGCAGUUUGAAAUUUUUACCUGCCUCUUUCCCAAUGUUCUCCCUCCCCUCAAUCAUAGAGUUCCCACCUUAAUAUUCCAGGUGCUGGUACACAGAAAUGGGUUUCUCCAGCCACAUCCCACCCAGCUGGGUAGCCAGGCACUCACUCAUUGCUUUCCUUUUCCCUGUAGGAAAGGCUACCUCCACCAGAUAAAUCAGCUGCAUUCAGUGUUUCCUUAGGGGAGGGGUAGUACCAGGGAAGUUUCCCAUACCACCUACACUGUGACCAAAGUUGUAUUUUUCUUUUUCUCCAAAGGUGUUCUGGAGUCUUCCUUUGGGAAUGUUAGACUUCUGCAAGUUGUCUCUCGUGUGUGAGUGCCUGCCUGUGUCAGCACUCACCUGAUUUUUGCCCAACAGUGGUAAGAGGGGUCUAGGCAGUUUUGCUGCCUCCACUGAUUCUGCAGCAUGAAUGGAGAUGUGUCUGUCUCUUACUGGAUGCAGUGGUGGGCCAGACUCCUCUUGGGUCCCUUGAAGUAAGGUGCUGGGUCCCAAAUCAUCCCUCAAACCACUUGUCUUUGUGAAUGGAUGUCUAAUUCAUUGGUUAAAAAGGAGGACUGUCAGGGGCUGGCCCCGCGGCCGAGUGGUUAAGUUUGCGCGCUCCGCUGCAGGUGGCCCAGUGUUUUGUUGGUUCGAAUCCUGGGCGUGGACAUGGCACUGCUCAUCAAACCACGCUGAGGUGGCAUCCCACAUGCCACAACUAGAAGGCCCACAACGAAGAAUAUACAACUAUGUACCGGGGGGCUUUGGGG
This 1261-nucleotide long non-coding RNA is filed under the name Equus caballus (horse). RNAcentral's name for it is "lncRNA (ENSECAG00000060125.1)". The record is from RNAcentral. Lineage: Eukaryota; Metazoa; Chordata; Mammalia; Perissodactyla; Equidae.